ACGGAUGCCUCGACUCUGGAGUCCGAUGAAGGACGUGGCCAGCUACGAUAAGCCUCGGUGAGCCGCUAGGCAGGCACUAUUAGCCGGGGAUUUCCGAAUGGGGCAACCCAUGGGGGUUAUACCCCCGUAUCCGGCUUCGGCCGGAAGGUCACUCUGCGAACUGAAACAUCUCAGUAGCAGGGGAAGAGAAAUCAACACGAGAUUCCCUGAGUAGUGGCGAGCGAAAGGGGAACAGCCUAAACCAUGAUCGCAAGAUUGUGGGGUUGCAGGACCUCAAUAUCCGACUCCCUUCUCAUAGGCGAACGACCCUGGAACGGGCGGCCAAAGAGGGUGAGAGCCCCGUAGACGAAAUGGGGAGGGGCGGUAGGGGAAUCCUAAGUAGGGUCGGACACGUGUAAUCCGGCCUGAAUCCGGGUGGACCACCAUCCAAGGCUAAAGAGCUCUAGAGAUCGAUAGCGAAUAGUACCGUGAGGGAAAGGUGAAAAGCACCCCGAAAGGGGGAUGAAAUAGUCUCUGAAAUGUGAUGCGUACAAAGAAGUCGGA
This 543-nucleotide ribosomal RNA is filed under the name Candidatus Peribacteria bacterium RIFCSPLOWO2_01_FULL_54_110. Its description in RNAcentral is "bacterial LSU rRNA". It matches the Rfam family "Bacterial large subunit ribosomal RNA", at positions 24 to 578 of the family's 2925-position model. Lineage: Bacteria; Candidatus Peregrinibacteriota; Candidatus Peribacteria. The record is from RNAcentral.